UACAGAGGGUGCAAGCGUUAAUCGGAGUUACUGGGCGUAAAGGGCGCGUAGGCGGUUAUUUAAGUUGGAUGUGAAAUCCCUGGGCUUAACCUAGGAACUGCAUUCGAUACUGAAUAACUGGAGUACUGUAGAGGGUAGUGGAAUUUCCGGUGUAGCGGUGAAAUGCGUAGAGAUCGGAAGGAACACCAGUGGCGAAGGCGGCUACCUGGACAGAUACUGACGCUCAGGCACGAAAGCGUGGGGAGCAAACAGG
This 253-nucleotide ribosomal RNA is filed under the name uncultured prokaryote. RNAcentral's name for it is "partial 16S ribosomal RNA". It matches the Rfam family "Bacterial small subunit ribosomal RNA", at positions 524 to 776 of the family's 1533-position model. The record is from RNAcentral.